Molecule: ribosomal RNA, 253 nt
Filed under: uncultured bacterium
Lineage: Bacteria
Description: partial 16S ribosomal RNA
Rfam family: Bacterial small subunit ribosomal RNA
Source: RNAcentral
UACGUAGGGUGCGAGCGUUGCCCGGAUUUAUUGGGCGUAAAGGGCGCGUAGGCGGCUCGGCACGUCCGUUGUGAAAUCGCCCGGCUCAACUGGGCGGGGUCAGCGGAUACGGCGUAGCUGGAGCAAGCUAGGGGGCAAUGGAAUUCCCGGUGUAGUGGUGGAAUGCGUAGAUAUCGGGAGGAACACCAGUGGCGAAGGCGGUUGCCUGGAGCUUUGCUGACGCUGAGGCGCGAAAGCGUGGGGAGCGAUCCGG